CCUACGGGAGGCAGCAGUGGGGAAUAUUGCACAAUGGGCGCAAGCCUGAUGCAGCGACGCCGCGUGAGGGAUGACGGCCUUCGGGUUGUAAACCUCUUUCAGUAGGGAAGAAGCGAAAGUGACGGUACCUGCAGAAGAAGCGCCGGCUAACUACGUGCCAGCAGCCGCGGUAAUACGUAGGGCGCAAGCGUUAUCCGGAAUUAUUGGGCGUAAAGAGCUCGUAGGCGGUUUGUCGCGUCUGCUGUGAAAGACCGGGGCUCAACUCCGGUUCUGCAGUGGGUACGGGCAGA
This 290-nucleotide ribosomal RNA is filed under the name uncultured bacterium. Its description in RNAcentral is "partial 16S ribosomal RNA". It matches the Rfam family "Bacterial small subunit ribosomal RNA", at positions 338 to 640 of the family's 1533-position model. The record is from RNAcentral.